UUGAAGAGUUUGAUCAUGGCUCAGAUUGAACGCUGGCGGCAGGCCUAACACAUGCAAGUCGAGCGGUAACACAGAGAGCUUGCUCUCGGGUGACGAGCGGCGGACGGGUGAGUAAUGUCUGGGAAACUGCCUGAUGGAGGGGGAUAACUACUGGAAACGGUAGCUAAUACCGCAUAACGUCGCAAGACCAAAGUGGGGGACCUUCGGGCCUCAUGCCAUCAGAUGUGCCCAGAUGGGAUUAGCUAGUAGGUGGGGUAAUGGCUCACCUAGGCGACGAUCCCUAGCUGGUCUGAGAGGAUGACCAGCCACACUGGAACUGAGACACGGUCCAGACUCCUACGGGAGGCAGCAGUGGGGAAUAUUGCACAAUGGGCGCAAGCCUGAUGCAGCCAUGCCGCGUGUAUGAAGAAGGCCUUCGGGUUGUAAAGUACUUUCAGCGAGGAGGAAGGCGUUAAGGUUAAUAACCUUGGUGAUUGACGUUACUCGCAGAAGAAGCACCGGCUAACUCCGUGCCAGCAGCCGCGGUAAUACGGAGGGUGCAAGCGUUAAUCGGAAUUACUGGGCGUAAAGCGCACGCAGGCGGUCUGUCAAGUCGGAUGUGAAAUCCCCGGGCUCAACCUGGGAACUGCAUUCGAAACUGGCAGGCUAGAGUCUUGUAGAGGGGGGUAGAAUUCCAGGUGUAGCGGUGAAAUGCGUAGAGAUCUGGAGGAAUACCGGUGGCGAAGGCGGCCCCCUGGACAAAGACUGACGCUCAGGUGCGAAAGCGUGGGGAGCAAACAGGAUUAGAUACCCUGGUAGUCCACGCCGUAAACGAUGUCGACUUGGAGGUUGUGCCCUUGAGGCGUGGCUUCCGGAGCUAACGCGUUAAGUCGACCGCCUGGGGAGUACGGCCGCAAGGUUAAAACUCAAAUGAAUUGACGGGGGCCCGCACAAGCGGUGGAGCAUGUGGUUUAAUUCGAUGCAACGCGAAGAACCUUACCUACUCUUGACAUCCAGAGAACUUAGCAGAGAUGCUUUGGUGCCUUCGGGAACUCUGAGACAGGUGCUGCAUGGCUGUCGUCAGCUCGUGUUGUGAAAUGUUGGGUUAAGUCCCGCAACGAGCGCAACCCUUAUCCUUUGUUGCCAGCGGUCGGCCGGGAACUCAAAGGAGACUGCCAGUGAUAAACUGGAGGAAGGUGGGGAUGACGUCAAGUCAUCAUGGCCCUUACGAGUAGGGCUACACACGUGCUACAAUGGCAUAUACAAAGAGAAGCGACCUCGCGAGAGCAAGCGGACCUCAUAAAGUAUGUCGUAGUCCGGAUUGGAGUCUGCAACUCGACUCCAUGAAGUCGGAAUCGCUAGUAAUCGUAGAUCAGAAUGCUACGGUGAAUACGUUCCCGGGCCUUGUACACACCGCCCGUCACACCAUGGGAGUGGGUUGCAAAAGAAGUAGGUAGCUUAACCUUCGGGAGGGCGCUUACCACUUUGUGAUUCAUGACUGGGGUGAAGUCGUAACAAGGUAACCGUAGGGGAACCUGCGGUUGGAUCACCUCCUU
This 1535-nucleotide ribosomal RNA is filed under the name Klebsiella aerogenes. RNAcentral describes it as "bacterial SSU rRNA". It matches the Rfam family "Bacterial small subunit ribosomal RNA". Lineage: Bacteria; Pseudomonadati; Pseudomonadota; Gammaproteobacteria; Enterobacterales; Enterobacteriaceae. The record is from RNAcentral.